GUGCCAGCAGCCGCGGUAAUACGGAGGUGGCAAGCGUUGUUCGGAAUUACUGGGCGUAAAGGGCGCGUAGGCGGCUUGGCAAGUCAGAUGUGAAAGCCCCGGGCUUAACUUGGGAAUUGCAUCUGAAACUGCCUUGCUUGAGUCCUGGAGGGGGUAGUGGAAUUCCCAGUGUAGCGGUGAAAUGCGUAGAUAUUGGGAGGAACACCUGCGGCGAAGGCGGCUACCUGGACAGUGACUGACGCUGAGGCGCGAAAGCUAGGGGAGCAAACGGGAUUAGAAACCCCCGUAGUCC
This 292-nucleotide ribosomal RNA is filed under the name uncultured bacterium. Its description in RNAcentral is "partial 16S ribosomal RNA". It matches the Rfam family "Bacterial small subunit ribosomal RNA", at positions 505 to 796 of the family's 1533-position model. The record is from RNAcentral.